Long non-coding RNA from Daphnia carinata, 319 nucleotides. RefSeq lists it as uncharacterized. The record is from RefSeq and is a predicted model, not a curated record. NCBI's taxonomy places the organism in Eukaryota, Metazoa, Arthropoda, Branchiopoda, Diplostraca, Daphniidae. The transcript is spliced from 2 exons.
ACCAUACACAUCCUGCUGCUCUUUCCCGACCCCUCUGAUGGUCACGAUCAUCUACUUGUCCUUUCUCUGUGUGCUUUGCUAAUGUUUAAACAAACACUAACAUGUGGCUGCCGCUGUUGCUGCUGAAAAAAAAAAUGGUAAAGAAGCCGCUCCGCCACCCAAUCGGUCUGACCAUCGGAUGCCAUGUGAUCUGAAGCAAUUCCAACUGGCAGUGGAAAAAAGAAAAUCGUUAACUAGUGGCCGAGUUCUAUUUACUCAAGGACUAAAGGAAUCGUUUUUCUUAAAAGGAGAAAAGUCGGAACAUGAUGGGUAGUAAAGC